Molecule: small nuclear RNA, 108 nt
Organism: Tupaia belangeri (northern tree shrew)
Lineage: Eukaryota; Metazoa; Chordata; Mammalia; Scandentia; Tupaiidae
Source: Ensembl
GUGCUCACUUUGGCAGCAUAUGCAGUAAAAUAGAAAUGAUAGAGAUUAGGAUUAGCAUUGCCCCUGUACAGGGAUAACACACAAAUUCAUGAAGCACUGCAUAUUUUU